RNAcentral lists this ribosomal RNA (445 nucleotides) under uncultured bacterium. RNAcentral describes it as "partial 16S ribosomal RNA". It matches the Rfam family "Bacterial small subunit ribosomal RNA", at positions 354 to 796 of the family's 1533-position model. The record is from RNAcentral.
GUGAGGAAUAUUGGUCAAUGGGCGAGAGCCUGAACCAGCCAAGUCGCGUGAAGGAAGAAGGAUCUAUGGUUCGUAAACUUCUUUUGCAGGGGAAUAAAGUGCAGGACGUGUCCUGUUUUGUAUGUACCCUGAGAAUAAGGAUCGGCUAACUCCGUGCCAGCAGCCGCGGUAAUACAGAGGAUCCGAGCGUUAUCCGGAUUUAUUGGGUUUAAAGGGUGCGUAGGUGGUUUGAUAAGUCAGCGGUGAAAGUUUGCAGCUUAACUGUAAAAAUGCCGUUGAAACUGUCGGACUUGAGUGUAAAUGAGGUAGGCGGAAUGCGUGGUGUAGCGGUGAAAUGCAUAGAUAUCACGCAGAACUCCGAUUGCGAAGGCAGCUUACUAAGCUACAACUGACACUGAAGCACGAAAGCGUGGGGAUCAAACAGGAUUAGAAACCCGGGUAGUCC